This 484-nucleotide ribosomal RNA is filed under the name uncultured bacterium. RNAcentral's name for it is "partial 16S ribosomal RNA". It matches the Rfam family "Bacterial small subunit ribosomal RNA", at positions 30 to 507 of the family's 1533-position model. The record is from RNAcentral.
AUUGAACGCUGGCGGCAGGCCUAACACAUGCAAGUCGAGCGGAUGAAGGGAGCUUGCUCCUGGAUUCAGCGGCGGACGGGUGAGUAAUGCCUAGGAAUCUGCCUGGUAGUGGGGGAUAACGUCCGGAAACGGGCGCUAAUACCGCAUACGUCCUGAGGGAGAAAGUGGGGGAUCUUCGGACCUCACGCUAUCAGAUGAGCCUAGUUCGGAUUAGCUAGUUGGUGGGGUAAAGGCCUACCAAGGCGACGAUCCGUAACUGGUCUGAGAGGAUGAUCAGUCACACUGGAACUGAGACACGGUCCAGGCUCCUACGGGAGGCAGCAGUGGGGAAUAUUGGACAAUGGGCGAAAGCCUGAUCCAGCCAUGCCGCGUGUGUGAAGAAGGUCUUCGGAUUGUAAAGCACUUUAAGUUGGGAGGAAGGGCAGUAAGUUAAUACCUUGCUGUUUUGACGUUACCAACAGAAUAAGCACCGGCUAACUUCGUG